Molecule: ribosomal RNA, 421 nt
Filed under: uncultured bacterium
Lineage: Bacteria
Description: bacterial SSU rRNA
Rfam family: Bacterial small subunit ribosomal RNA
Source: RNAcentral
UAAGGAAUAUUGGUCAAUGGACGCAAGUCUGAACCAGCCAUGCCGCGUGAAGGAUGAAGGUCCUCUGGAUUGUAAACUUCUUUUAUCUGGGACGAAAACGGGAUUUUUAUCUCAAUUGACGGUACCAGAGGAAUAAGCACCGGCUAACUCCGUGCCAGCAGCCGCGGUAAUACGGAGGGUGCGAGCGUUAUCCGGAUUUACUGGGUUUAAAGGGUGCGUAGGUGGGCUUAUAAGUCAGUGGUGAAAUCUCCGAGCUUAACUUGGAAACUGCCGUUGAUACUAUAGGUCUUGAAUUAUCUGGAAGUAAGCGGAAUAUGUCAUGUAGCGGUGAAAUGCUUAGAUAUGACAUAGAACACCAAUUGCGAAGGCAGCUUACUACACAAUCAUUGACACUGAGGCACGAAAGCGUGGGUAGCGAACA